This 393-nucleotide long non-coding RNA is filed under the name Paramuricea clavata. Lineage: Eukaryota; Metazoa; Cnidaria; Anthozoa; Malacalcyonacea; Plexauridae. The record is from RNAcentral.
UUUCCUCCUCAAUCUCAAAGGUACUGCCCAGCGGGCAAAAAUGACGUUUAUCCAACGUUGAAUCAACGUUGGAAAUGACCUUCCAGACGUUGGAUAGACGUUGAGAAAGGGUCGACUAUGCAAAUUGGAUCGACGUUACUGUUUCGACGUUGAAACAACGUUGAAAUUAGGUUGCCAAUCUCGUCAACUAUAAUUCAACGUUGAAUCCACGUUAAAACAACGUUGAGAUUGGUUCACAAAUCGACGUCGUACAUUUAACCAUGAAUGAACGUUAAUUCAACGUCUGUUGGCUGCUGUUGAACCAAUGUUUGUAAAACAACGUCAGAGCAACGUAGAUAUUAGGUUGUCGACGUCGCAACCUUUUUUCUACCAAAUUUCAACGUUCAAACAACG